Molecule: ribosomal RNA, 397 nt
Filed under: uncultured bacterium
Lineage: Bacteria
Description: bacterial SSU rRNA
Rfam family: Bacterial small subunit ribosomal RNA
Source: RNAcentral
AUUGAACGCUGGCGGCAUGCCUUACACAUGCAAGUCGAACGGCAGCACGGGGGCAACCCUGGUGGCGAGUGGCGAACGGGUGAGUAAUGCAUCGGAACGUGUCCUCUUGUGGGGGAUAACCAGUCGAAAGAUUGGCUAAUACCGCAUGAGAUCGAGAGAUGAAAGCGGGGGACCCGAGGGUAACUUCGGGCCUCGCGCGAGAGGAGCGGCCGAUGCCGGAUUAGCUAGUUGGUGGGGUAAGAGCCUACCAAGGCGACGAUCCGUAGCUGGUCUGAGAGGACGACCAGCCACACUGGGACUGAGACACGGCCCAGACUCCUACGGGAGGCAGCAGUGGGGAAUUUUGGACAAUGGGCGCAAGCCUGAUCCAGCCAUGCCGCGUGUGUGAAGAAGGCCU